Molecule: long non-coding RNA, 1008 nt
Filed under: Homo sapiens (human)
Lineage: Eukaryota; Metazoa; Chordata; Mammalia; Primates; Hominidae
Description: HSALNT0380404
Source: RNAcentral
GCCUGCCUCUACCUCCCGGCCUGCACAUCCCGCUCGGCUGUCGCUGAAGGCCCUCUUACGAAGAAACCGUUCUACGGAAGCCCAGUUGAGACAACUUGAGACAGGAUUCAGAAACGCUGAUUUUAGUAACCUUAACCCUCGGCCUUUGGUGGGAACUUCGGCUCUGUGGGAAUUAGUCUUUGGGGGACUGAUGGUGAUGCUGAAAUCUUAUUGCGUAGGAAAUUAAGUACAACAAAGAAGACCCGUCGUGAGAGGAGAGUGCGGAAGAAAUGCGAAGUCUACGGGAGGUGGCAGCUGCAGAAGCUUGGUGUUGGAUUUGGAGUUAGGAGACCGGGAGGAGCCCAGCUUCCGGUCCAGACGGUUAUCUUGUUGACUUGCACGACUGCAAACGCCCUGAGCUGCUUUUGCAGUCUGAAACAUCAGCGAUCCCAUCAAAAUAUUCUGUUUCUUGGGAUAUAAGAAACAUCCCAAGGCGGGCUGUAGAGCGAGAGAUUUGGACUCGAUUUAAAUACAGACAAAAUAGUAUGCAUUUACUAACACCACAUCUCACCCCCACGAAACUUGGUAAGGGCAGCAACAGAACUUUAUCUGCCAUAUGCACUCCUGUAUUCCUAUUACCAAAUAGUGCCAGGGACUAAGUGAAUAUUUGCCCAAUGAAUGAGUUUUAAGUAGGAAACGUUUGCAUAGAAUCAUUUUGUUUCUUUUGGAGUUCAAAUCUUCGGAUAUUUUACCCUUCCCAAUCCAAAGAAAAGUCUCUGAGUGAAGAGAUGGGAACAAAAUCCAAGCCCAGCACAACAAUGGCACACAGCAGUUGCUGCCCAAGCCUGGGUGCUCCUGGUGGUCCUGCACGAUCGGCUGUGCAGUAGGCUUGUCAAGGAGAGGAUCCUCCCUGGCCUCUCCUUGGGCAGAGGAGGUGAGGCUCACCUCACAAAGAUCUUUGGAGAGAGGGAGGCAGGGAUCUGAGCACAGUGGGAGCCCCCUCUUCCUGCCUGCCCACCCCACCUGAGG